RNAcentral lists this ribosomal RNA (473 nucleotides) under uncultured bacterium. RNAcentral describes it as "bacterial SSU rRNA". It matches the Rfam family "Bacterial small subunit ribosomal RNA", at positions 366 to 829 of the family's 1533-position model. The record is from RNAcentral.
UCGCAAUGCCCGAAAGGGUGACGAAGCGACGCCGCGUGGGUGAGGAAGGCCCUCGGGUUGUAAAGCCCUGUCAGGAGUUAAGAAAUGUAAGUGCGCUAAUAUCGCAUUUAUUUGACGAAGGCUCCAAAGGAAGCCACGGCUAACUCUGUGCCAGCAGCCGCGGUAAUACAGAGGUGGCAAGCGUUGUUCGGAAUUAUUGGGCGUAAAGAGCACGUAGGUGGGUUUGUAAGUCAGAUGUGAAAGCCUUCUGUUCAACGGAAGAAUUGCAUCUGAAACUACAAGUCUUGAGUGUAGGAGGGGAGAAUGGAACUUCUGGUGGAGCGGUGAAAUGCGUAGAUAUCAGAAGGAACGCCGGCGGCGAAAGCGAUUCUCUGGCCUAUUACUGACACUCAGUGUGCGAAAGCUAGGGGAGCAAACGGGAUUAGAUACCCCGGUAGUCCUAGCCGUAAACGAUGGGCACUAAGUAGAGGGGU